GACGAACGCUGGCGGCGUGCUUAACACAUGCAAGUCGAACGGAAAGGCCCUGCUUUUGUGGGGUGCUCGAGUGGCGAACGGGUGAGUAACACGUGAGUAACCUGCCCUUGACUUUGGGAUAACUUCAGGAAACUGGGGCUAAUACCGGAUAGGAGCUCCUGCUGCAUGGUGGGGGUUGGAAAGUUUCGGCGGUUGGGGAUGGACUCGCGGCUUAUCAGCUUGUUGGUGGGGUAGUGGCUUACCAAGGCUUUGACGGGUAGCCGGCCUGAGAGGGUGACCGGCCACCUUGGGACUGAGAUACGGCCCAGACUCCUACGGGAGGCAGCAGUGGGGAAUAUUGCACAAUGGGCGGAAGCCUGAUGCAGCAACGCCGCGUGCGGGAUGACGGCCUUCGGGUUGUAAACCGCUUUCGCCUGUGACGAAGCGUGAGUGACGGUAAUGGGUACAGAAGCCCCGGCUAACUACGUG
This 468-nucleotide ribosomal RNA is filed under the name uncultured bacterium. RNAcentral describes it as "partial 16S ribosomal RNA". It matches the Rfam family "Bacterial small subunit ribosomal RNA", at positions 28 to 507 of the family's 1533-position model. The record is from RNAcentral.